UAGCAUUUUUUUGAAUCCACUGCCUUUA
Molecule: non-coding RNA, 28 nt
Filed under: Mus musculus (house mouse)
Lineage: Eukaryota; Metazoa; Chordata; Mammalia; Rodentia; Muridae
Source: RNAcentral